GACGAACGCUGGCGGCGUGCUUAACACAUGCAAGUCGAACGAUGAAGAAAAGAAUUGAAGCUUCGGCAGAAAUUCAUUUCGGAUUAGUGGCAGACGGGUGAGUAACGCGUGAGCAACCUACCUCUUACAAAGGGAUAGCCUCGGGAAACCGGGAUUAAUACCAUAUAACAUUGCGACGAAGCAUUUCGAUGCAAUCAAAGCUACGGCGGUAAGAGAUGGGCUCGCGUCCCAUUAACCAGAUGGUGAGGUAACGGCUCACCAUAGUAACGAUGGGUAACCGGCCUGAGAGGGUGAACGGUCACACUGGAACUGAGACACGGUCCAGACUCCUACGGGAGGCAGCAGUGGGGAAUAUUGCACAAUGGAGGGAACUCUGAUGCAGCGACGCCGCGUGAGUGAUGAAGGAAUUCGUUUCGUAAAACUCUGUUCUAUGGGAAGAAAAGGACUGUACCAUAGGAGAAAGCUCCGGCUAAAUACGUGCCAGCAGCCGCGGUAAUACGUAUGGAGCGAGCGUUGUCCGGAAUUAUUGGGCGUAAAGGGUGCGCAGGCGGCUUUACAAGUUGGAUGUGAAAUAUUGUGGCUCAACCACAAACGUGCAUCCAAAACUGCAAAGCUUGAGUUAAGGAGAGGUAAGUGGAAUUCCUGGUGUAGCGGUGGAAUGCGUAGAUACCAGGAGGAAUACCGGUGGCGAAGGCGACUUACUGGACUUAAACUGACGCUCAGGCACGAAAGCGUGGGGAGCAAACAGG
This 749-nucleotide ribosomal RNA is filed under the name uncultured Tissierellaceae bacterium. Its description in RNAcentral is "bacterial SSU rRNA". It matches the Rfam family "Bacterial small subunit ribosomal RNA", at positions 28 to 776 of the family's 1533-position model. Lineage: Bacteria; Bacillati; Bacillota; Tissierellia; Tissierellales; Tissierellaceae. The record is from RNAcentral.